GACGAACGCUGGCGGCGUGCUUAACACAUGCAAGUCGAACGGUAAGGCCCUUCGGGGUACACGAGUGGCGAACGGGUGAGUAACACGUGGGUGAUCUGCCCUGCACUUCGGGAUAAGCCUGGGAAACUGGGUCUAAUACCGGAUAGGACCAUGGACUUCACGGUUUGUGGUGGAAAGCUUUUGCGGUGUGGGAUGGGCCCGCGGCCUAUCAGCUUGUUGGUGGGGUAAUGGCCUACCAAGGCGACGACGGGUAGCCGGCCUGAGAGGGUGUCCGGCCACACUGGGACUGAGAUACGGCCCAGACUCCUACGGGAGGCAGCAGUGGGGAAUAUUGCACAAUGGGCGCAAGCCUGAUGCAGCGACGCCGCGUGAGGGAUGACGGCCUCGGUUGUAACCGUACUUUCUAUAGGACGAAGACGCGAAGUGACGGUACCGUACUUAGAAGAAGACACCGGCCGAACCUAACGUGCCAGCAGCCGCGGAAAAUAAGCGUACU
Molecule: ribosomal RNA, 496 nt
Filed under: uncultured bacterium
Lineage: Bacteria
Description: bacterial SSU rRNA
Rfam family: Bacterial small subunit ribosomal RNA
Source: RNAcentral